This 238-nucleotide ribosomal RNA is filed under the name Vibrio parahaemolyticus. Its description in RNAcentral is "partial 23S ribosomal RNA". It matches the Rfam family "Bacterial large subunit ribosomal RNA", at positions 1660 to 1882 of the family's 2925-position model. Lineage: Bacteria; Pseudomonadati; Pseudomonadota; Gammaproteobacteria; Vibrionales; Vibrionaceae. The record is from RNAcentral.
CAGGUGGUCGGGUAGAGAAUACCAAGGCGCUUGAGAGAACUCGGGUGAAGGAACUAGGCAAAAUGGUACCGUAACUUCGGGAGAAGGUACGCUCUUGAUGGUGAAGUCCCUUGCGGAUGGAGCUGACGAGAGUCGCAGAUACCAGGUGGCUGCAACUGUUUAUUAAAAACACAGCACUGUGCAAAAUCGUAAGAUGACGUAUACGGUGUGACGCCUGCCCGGUGCCGGAAGGUUAAUU